UACGGGGGGAGCAAGCGUUGUUCGGAUUUACUGGGCGUAAAGGGCGCGUAGGCGGCGUAACAAGUCACUUGUGAAAUCUCCGGGCUUAACCCGGAGCGGCCAAGUGAUACUGUUGUGCUAGAGUGCGGAAGGGGCUACUGGAAUUCUCGGUGUAGCGGUGAAAUGCGUAGAUAUCGAGAGGAACACCUGCGGCGAAGGCGGGUUGCUGGGCUGAUACUGACGCUGAGGCGCGAAAGCUAGGGGAGCGAACGGG
Molecule: ribosomal RNA, 253 nt
Filed under: uncultured bacterium
Lineage: Bacteria
Description: partial 16S ribosomal RNA
Rfam family: Bacterial small subunit ribosomal RNA
Source: RNAcentral